CAAACGACCACACUAUCACGCAACGCUCGUUUUUGUUUUUCGGGUCAGGUGUGCAUUGUUCUAGACCCAAAAUUGCACGUGGCAGAAAUUAUGUGGGUCAACAUUCAAAUUAUGCUCCGACCUUUGCCGUCUUGCAGCCUUUUAAACGGCUUUCUGAAUUUCCUGGACUUACAUGUCGUAGGCCAAGGCCUUAUAACAUUUUAAUUUGAAGGCAAUAUAGCCUUUCUACAAAAUCUAUGCACUACCCCUGCAGGUGAACACUUGACGGAGCUCAGUACUGACGUGUAUCACGGGCAUUACAUCAUUAGCCAAUAGGAAAGCUUUACGUGCUGAGCUGCGCACAGACAUCAGUUCGUGAAUACAGGAAUCGAGAACCAAGUAUAAACGGCUUGUCAUAUUUUGACGUCGAGGGAAAUGCACCGGAAACUGCGACUUGGAAGAUUGAGUUGGCAAAAUCAAACAUGCGGUAAAAAUCUUGGAAAUGUUAAAUAGUACUGUGGAUUCAACACACACACACACAAAUUACGUCAUUCAAAAUGUUACUGGAUCGUUGAACGUCGGGCCGUUGAGCAAUAGAAAUCGUCAUCAAUGUUAGCAAUAAUAUGAAAACAUCAUA
Acanthaster planci (crown-of-thorns starfish) is the source of this 616-nucleotide long non-coding RNA. RefSeq lists it as uncharacterized. NCBI's taxonomy places the organism in Eukaryota, Metazoa, Echinodermata, Asteroidea, Valvatida, Acanthasteridae. The record is from RefSeq and is a predicted model, not a curated record.